CUGCACCAGGAAAACCUGUCCGGAUUCUACGGACGAUGAUUUCAACGCGGAUGGUACUCCGAAAGUUCAGCGUCCUUCAAACCCGCUACUCCGUACUAAAAGAGGCGUUGACGCUUAGUUUGGUCCGCAGAUCAGUCACGUUUCUUGAACAAGCAUUACGAAUCAUAUGAAUUCCUUACUUGGUGAAUGAGAAACUAAAUGUGAAGUAUUUUGUACAAUCAAUAUGAUUUACUGUAGACUGUGUGUGAUAAACCAAUAAACAAAUG
This 266-nucleotide unclassified non-coding RNA is filed under the name Athalia rosae (coleseed sawfly). RNAcentral describes it as "misc RNA ENSAEAG00005010347.1". The record is from RNAcentral. Lineage: Eukaryota; Metazoa; Arthropoda; Insecta; Hymenoptera; Athaliidae.